AUUGAACGCUGGCGGCAGGCCUAACACAUGCAAGUCGAGCGGAUGAAGGGAGCUUGCUCCUGGAUUCAGCGGCGGACGGGUGAGUAAUGCCUAGGAAUCUGCCUGGUAGUGGGGGAUAACGUCCGGAAACGGGCGCUAAUACCGCAUACGUCCUGAGGGAGAAAGUGGGGGAUCUUCGGACCUCACGCUAUCAGAUGAGCCUAGGUCGGAUUAGCUAGUUGGUGGGGUAAAGGCCUACCAAGGCGACGAUCCGUAGCUGGUCUGAGAGGAUGAUCAGUCACACUGGAACUGAGACACGGUCCAGACUCCUACGGGAGGCAGCAGUGGGGAAUAUUGGACAAUGGGCGAAAGCCUGAUCCAGCCAUGCCGCGUGUGUGAAGAAGGUCUUCGGAUUGUAAAGCACUUUAAGUGGGGAAGAAGAGCAGUAAGUUAAUACCUUGCUGUUUUGACGUUACCAACAGAAUAAGCACCGGCUAACUUCGUG
This 484-nucleotide ribosomal RNA is filed under the name uncultured bacterium. RNAcentral's name for it is "partial 16S ribosomal RNA". It matches the Rfam family "Bacterial small subunit ribosomal RNA", at positions 30 to 507 of the family's 1533-position model. The record is from RNAcentral.